RNAcentral lists this ribosomal RNA (441 nucleotides) under uncultured bacterium. RNAcentral's name for it is "partial 16S ribosomal RNA". It matches the Rfam family "Bacterial small subunit ribosomal RNA", at positions 338 to 795 of the family's 1533-position model. The record is from RNAcentral.
CCUACGGGAGGCAGCAGUGGGGAAUAUUGCACAAUGGGGGGAACCCUGAUGCAGCGACGCCGCGUGGGUGAAGGAGUAUUUCGGUAUUUAAAGCCCCAUCAGCAGGGAAGAACAAUGACGGUACCUGACUAAGAAGCACCUGCUAAAUACGUACCAGCAGCCGCGGUAAUACGUAUGGUGCAAGCGUUAUCCGGAUUUACUGGGGUUAAAGGGAGCGCAGGCGGCGCGUUAAGCCUGAUGUGAAAGUCCGGGGCCCAACCGCGGGACUGCAUUGGAAACUGGCGCGUUGGAGUGCAGGAGGGGUAGGCGGAAUUCGUAGUGUAGCGGUGAAAUGCGUAGAUAUUAGGCGGAACACCAGGGGCGAAGGCGGCCUACUGGACGGUGACUGACGCUGAGGCUCGAAAGCGUGGGGAGCAAACAGGAUUAGAUACCCCAGUAGUC